CCUUAGAUGUUCUGGGCCGCACGCGUGCUACACUGAGUGGAUCAGCGGGUCAGGUUGCGCGAAAGCGUUUCCUAAUCUUUAAAUCCGCUCGUGAUGGGGAUUGACGGUUGCAAUUUUCUGUCAUGAACGAGGAAUACCUUGUAAGCGCGGGUCAUCAUCCCGCGCUGAAUACGUCCCUGCCCUUUGUACACACCGCCCGUCGCUCCUACCGAUUGAGUGGUCCGGUGAGGCUUUGGGAUCUGAGCGGAAAGAGCGUUUCGCUGUUUCUGCUCGGAAAACUCAGUCGAACCUUAUCAUUUAGAGGAAGGAGAAGUCGUAACA
This 321-nucleotide ribosomal RNA is filed under the name uncultured eukaryote. RNAcentral describes it as "partial 18S ribosomal RNA". It matches the Rfam family "Eukaryotic small subunit ribosomal RNA", at positions 1471 to 1796 of the family's 1831-position model. The record is from RNAcentral.